Meriones unguiculatus (Mongolian gerbil) is the source of this 946-nucleotide long non-coding RNA. RefSeq lists it as uncharacterized. The record is from RefSeq and is a predicted model, not a curated record. NCBI's taxonomy places the organism in Eukaryota, Metazoa, Chordata, Mammalia, Rodentia, Muridae. The transcript is spliced from 3 exons.
GCAGUCCCUCCACCAGCAUCCAGGCAAAGGCACUCAGAAAGAAGUAGUGUAGCAGGACAGCCAGAACCUGGCACGGAACCUGGGAGCCAAGCAAAGACGCGGAGGGACAUCUGCAGGGUGAGGAUCGGCACCUACUCACCGUGCCGGGCUCCACACGGAAGCUGAUGAGCAGCAGGACCUGGGCCACCAGGACAGCGAAGGACAGGUUGGCGUGGAUGUGGUAACGCUGGUUCCGAAUGGUGCUGACGGAACUGAAGACAGAGAGGCGAGCAUUGGACCUCUAUUGGGACAAAUGCCAGGCAUGAGUGGCUGCUCUCUGGAGAGUAUGUACCUCGUUGUACUGCCCAGCAGACCCUCCCGGGUAGACCAAAGGAAAAACAGAAUAUCCCUCAGUUCAGUGAUCCAGCAUGUGGAGGACCCAGAGGAGGAAGAUCUCCCCUGGUGUCAUUUGAAAUGUUCCUCAAUGAGACAUGGAGUGCACCUUCGCCAUCUCUCUGAGUGGCCUUUGUGAUGCUCAGGUUCCCAGCUAGCACCUUGGAUGCUCACUCGCUCAACUGCCCACCAAGAAGUUACCUCCAAUGACAACACCAUUGGCCAAGGUACCUUCUCUGCUGGCUCUUGGUGUGUGCUUGUCAAAAGCCAUUGGUUCAUUCCCUGCAACUCUCGAGCAUCUUCCCAGGGCAGCUCACAGCUUCCUGCUGAUCUCACCUCCAGGCCUGUGGUCUGUGUCCUAUGUCCCUUUAUGCUCCCUUACCUAGCGUAGAUUUCUAUGUGAACCAUCUCAAGUCAUACUCCCCAGCUUGCCCUUCAAAGAUGUUAGCAAUGUGUGCAGCCAUCCCCCAGAUAUGAGACAACUUUGUAGAUAGUCGAGAUCUGUUUAGGGGAGGCGAUUGAUGGCUGCUAUGAUCUGAGGACAGUAGCUGUCUAUGUAGCACUCACCUGCAGC